CCUACGGGGGGCAGCAGUGGGGAAUAUUGGACAAUGGGGGGAACCCUGAUCCAGCCAUGCCGCGUGUGUGAAGAAGGCCCUCGGGUUGUAAAGCACUUUCAGUGAGGAAGAACGCCUGGUGGUUAAUACCCAUCAGGAAAGACAUCACUCACAGAAGAAGCACCGGCUAACUCCGUGCCAGCAGCCGCGGUAAUACGGAGGGUGCGAGCGUUAAUCGGAAUUACUGGGCGUAAAGCGCGCGUAGGUGGCUUGAUAAGCCGGUUGUGAAAGCCCCGGGCUCAACCUGGGAACGGCAUCCGGAACUGUCAAGCUAGAGUGCAGGAGAGGAAGGUAGAAUUCCCGGUGUAGCGGUGAAAUGCGUAGAGAUCGGGAGGAAUACCAGUGGCGAAGGCGGCCUUCUGGACUGACACUGACACUGAGGUGCGAAAGCGUGGGUAGCAAACAGGAUUAGAUACCCCUGUAUC
This 464-nucleotide ribosomal RNA is filed under the name Vreelandella stevensii. RNAcentral describes it as "partial 16S ribosomal RNA". It matches the Rfam family "Bacterial small subunit ribosomal RNA", at positions 338 to 794 of the family's 1533-position model. The record is from RNAcentral. Lineage: Bacteria; Pseudomonadati; Pseudomonadota; Gammaproteobacteria; Oceanospirillales; Halomonadaceae.